Molecule: ribosomal RNA, 492 nt
Filed under: uncultured bacterium
Lineage: Bacteria
Description: partial 16S ribosomal RNA
Rfam family: Bacterial small subunit ribosomal RNA
Source: RNAcentral
AGUGAACGCUGGCGGUAGGCCUAACACAUGCCAGUCGAACGGCAGCACAGUAAGAGCUUGCUCUUACGGGUGGCGAGUGGCGGACGGGUGAGGAAUACAUCGGAAUCUACUUUUUCGUGGGGGAUAACGUAGGGAAACUUACGCUAAUACCGCAUACGACCUACGGGUGAAAGCAGGGGAUCUUCGGACCUUGCGCGAUUGAAUGAGCCGAUGUCGGAUUAGCUAGUUGGCGGGGUAAAGGCCCACCAAGGCGACGAUCCGUAGCUGGUCUGAGAGGAUGGUCGGCCACACUGGAACGUGGACACGGUCCAGGCUCCUACGGGAGGCAGCAGUGGGGAAUAUUGGACAAUGGGCGCAAGCCUGAUCCAGCCAUACCGCGUGGGUGAAGAAGGCCUUCGGGUUGUAAAGCCCUUUUGUUGGGAAAGAAAAGCAGCAGGUUAAUACCCCGCUGUUCUGACGGUACCCAAAGAAUAAGCACCGGCUAACUUCGUG